RNAcentral lists this transfer RNA (73 nucleotides) under Stegodyphus mimosarum. It matches the Rfam family "tRNA". Rfam says of the family: Transfer RNA (tRNA) molecules are approximately 80 nucleotides in length. Their secondary structure includes four short double-helical elements and three loops (D, anti-codon, and T loops). Further hydrogen bonds mediate the characteristic L-shaped molecular structure. tRNAs have two regions of fundamental functional importance: the anti-codon, which is responsible for specific mRNA codon recognition, and the 3' end, to which the tRNAs corresponding amino acid is attached (by aminoacyl-tRNA synthetases). tRNAs cope with the degeneracy of the genetic code in two manners: having more than one tRNA (with a specific anti-codon) for a particular amino acid; and 'wobble' base-pairing, i.e. permitting non-standard base-pairing at the 3rd anti-codon position. The record is from Rfam by way of RNAcentral. Lineage: Eukaryota; Metazoa; Arthropoda; Arachnida; Araneae; Eresidae.
GUUUUUGUGGUGUAGUGGUCAGCACACUCGGCGCGUAUUCGAGAAGUCCGUGGUUCGAGUCCUGGCGAGGGUA